RNAcentral lists this small RNA (66 nucleotides) under Geitlerinema sp. PCC 7407. RNAcentral describes it as "Cyanobacterial functional RNA 1". It matches the Rfam family "Cyanobacterial functional RNA 1". Lineage: Bacteria; Bacillati; Cyanobacteriota; Cyanophyceae; Geitlerinematales; Geitlerinemataceae. The record is from Rfam by way of RNAcentral.
GCGGAGACGCAUGUUUCCGUUCACUCCUCACACCACACUCCGCCUGAACGUUUUGUUCGGGCGGUU